GCUCUUAUUUCCAAAAAAUAUGAUUUCUCAUUUGUUCUAUUUUAUUUGUGUAUUUAUUUGGUAGUUGGUUUAUUACUAUCCCAAAGAUUGCUGUAAGCCAGUCUAUCUAUCUAUGCACUAUGCUUUGGGACUUUACAAAGUCAGAUUAUAAAAUCAUUGAGAUUUUUGUUGAGAUAUGUAAUUUUAAUAAAAGUGAUGUGAUUAGGCAAAGAAUCUAAAGCUGGGUCCCAGGGUCUUCCACAUAACAGUGCAUCUUCAAGAAAGUAGGUGUUCAAAGCAGCUGCAUGAUCCAUAAAUCUGGAUCUUCCAUCUUGGGAGGCUUACAAUUCACAUGAUCAUCUAUUAACAAUUCUGAGGCACUGUGAAAGGAGGAGCAGCAACAUGGCAGCUUAGGGAGCUGGUGACCCUCUGGACGCUAAGUGUGUAGAGGACCUGUUCGUUCACUGUUAUCAACCCAACUCAGGAGAAGCUGACACCUGUGCAAGUGCAAUUCAUGCAGCAGGUGCAGCUUGCCCAGUGGCAGAAGGCCCUACCACAGAAGUGGACCUGGAACAUCAUGACCAGCCUAGGCAUCGGGGCCCUGGUAUUAGCUAUUUAUGGAUACACCUUCUACCCGAUUUCCCAGGAGCGUUUCCUAGGUGAGCUAGAAGACAAUGCCAAAGCUGCCUGAGCCCAAGCUCUGUAGAGGGCAUCAGGAUCCUAAUCUGGAUGAGCACUGGACAUCUCCAACCUGCUGGUGCCCCUUCACGUGGUGAAUGAUGCCCCAUGAUCCUGUAGAAAUUGAAUCCUGCUCACAACAUUGUUGGCCUUCCUAUUAACCUUAGACCAUGACUGAGCCCAGUAAACCAGAGACUUAUCCAUUUGGCCACUGUCAAAAGAACAGAAGUUUGCCCAUCUCACACUUGCUGUGUACAGUGACUGAGCCCUCAUAGUUUGUUUCCUUGUUUGAGAGGUGUGCAUGUGACCUUGGGUUUUCCCAAAGUUUCUGACUUUGUGUUUUAGCCCCUUCACCUUUCCAGGGAUGCAACUGUUAUGGGAUUAAGCGUGGUAGCUCUGUGCAGUGUUAGAGCCUAAAGUAGAAUAGAGUCAAGUUGAGAAUAAUAAACUGAAUCAUCUCUCCUGGAAAAAAAAAAAAAAAA
This is an RNA transcript of Cebus imitator (Panamanian white-faced capuchin), 1139 nucleotides long. It is a transcript of the gene named cytochrome c oxidase assembly factor 3 homolog, mitochondrial-like, with no coding region annotated. NCBI's taxonomy places the organism in Eukaryota, Metazoa, Chordata, Mammalia, Primates, Cebidae. The transcript has a single exon. The record is from RefSeq and is a predicted model, not a curated record.